CAAAGGUUUGGUCCUGACUUUACUAUCAAUUGUACCCUAAUUUACACAUGCAAGUCUCCGCCUCCCCGUGAGAAUGCCCUUAAUGUCCUGCCCGGAAUUAAGGAGCAGGUAUCAGGCACAUCUAAUAGUUUACUAGCCCAUAACGCCUUGCUCAGCCACACCCCUACGGGUAUUCAGCAGUGAUAAAAUUUAAGCCAUAAGUGAAAGCUUGACUUAGUUAAGGGGAAGAGGGCCGGUAAAACUCGUGCCAGCCACCGCGGUUAUACGAGAGGCCCAAAUUGAUGAAAAACGGCGUAAAGCGUGGUUAAGAAAAAGAGAGAAAAUAUGGCCGAACAGCUUCAAAGCAGUUAUAC
Molecule: ribosomal RNA, 353 nt
Filed under: Gadus chalcogrammus (walleye pollock)
Lineage: Eukaryota; Metazoa; Chordata; Actinopteri; Gadiformes; Gadidae
Description: partial 12S ribosomal RNA
Source: RNAcentral